GUUUCUAAAGGAUAACAGUCAUCCGCUGGUCUUAGGAACCAAAAAC
RNAcentral lists this transfer RNA (46 nucleotides) under Cromeria nilotica (naked shellear). Its description in RNAcentral is "tRNA-Leu (CUN)". Lineage: Eukaryota; Metazoa; Chordata; Actinopteri; Gonorynchiformes; Kneriidae. The record is from RNAcentral.